UUAACUAUUGGUUUAAUUCCACCCUGAGUUGUGUAUGACUACCCUGCGA
RNAcentral lists this ribosomal RNA (49 nucleotides) under Laimaphelenchus preissii. RNAcentral describes it as "partial 28S ribosomal RNA". The record is from RNAcentral. Lineage: Eukaryota; Metazoa; Nematoda; Chromadorea; Rhabditida; Aphelenchoididae.